CCUUAGAUGGCUGAAGGCAAGCAUUGGUCUCUUAAACCAUUUUAUAGUAAAUUAGCACUUACUUCUAAUGA
Molecule: transfer RNA, 71 nt
Filed under: Barynotus obscurus
Lineage: Eukaryota; Metazoa; Arthropoda; Insecta; Coleoptera; Curculionidae
Description: tRNA-Lys
Source: RNAcentral